CCUACGGGUGGCAGCAGUAGGGAAUUUUGCGCAAUGGGCGAAAGCCUGACGCAGCAACGCCGCGUGAUUGAUUAAGCCCUUCGGGGUGUAAAGAUCUGUCAGUGGGGACGAAACUUGACGGUACCCACAGAGGUAGCACCGGCUAACCCAGUGCCAGCAGCCGCGGUAAUUCGGAGGGUGCAAGCGUUGUUCGGAAUCAGUGGGCGUAAAGAGUUCGUAGUUGGCAUGUUAAGUCUGGUGUUAAAUGCAGAGGCUCAACUUCUGUUCGGCACUGGAAACUGGUAAUCUUGAGUGCGGUAGAGGUAGAGGGAAUUCCUGGUGUAGCGGUGAAAUGCGUAGAUAUCAGGAGGAACAUCAGUGGCGUAGGCGCUUUACUGGGCCGUAAUUGACAGUGAGGAGCGAAAGCCGGGGUAGCAAAUAGGAUUAGAUACCCGAGUAGUC
RNAcentral lists this ribosomal RNA (441 nucleotides) under uncultured bacterium. RNAcentral describes it as "partial 16S ribosomal RNA". It matches the Rfam family "Bacterial small subunit ribosomal RNA", at positions 338 to 795 of the family's 1533-position model. The record is from RNAcentral.